AUACGGAGGGUGUAAGCGUUACUCGGAAUCACUGGGCGUAAAGCGCGCGCAGGCGGGCUGAUAAGUUGGAUGUGAAAGCCUACGGCUCAACCGUAGAACUGCAUCCAAAACUGUCAGUCUAGAGUGUGGGAGAGGAAGAUGGAAUUAGUUGUGUAGGGGUAAAAUCCGUAGAGAUAACUAGGAAUACCAAAAGCGAAGGCAAUCUUCUGGAACACUACUGACGCUGAGGCGCGAAAGCGUGGGUAGCAAACAGGAUUAGAAACCCCAGUAGUCC
Molecule: ribosomal RNA, 274 nt
Filed under: uncultured bacterium
Lineage: Bacteria
Description: partial 16S ribosomal RNA
Rfam family: Bacterial small subunit ribosomal RNA
Source: RNAcentral